Molecule: microRNA precursor, 79 nt
Filed under: Chelonia mydas (Green sea turtle)
Lineage: Eukaryota; Metazoa; Chordata; Testudines; Cheloniidae
Description: mir-16 microRNA precursor family
Rfam family: mir-16 microRNA precursor family
About the family: The hairpin precursors (represented here) are predicted based on base pairing and cross-species conservation -- their extents are not known. In this case the mature sequence is excised from the 5' arm of the hairpin.
Source: Rfam by way of RNAcentral
ACCUGCCACCAGCAGCGCAGAAGUAAGGGUGGCAUGGUAUGGUAUUGCCACCCUUACUUCUGUGCUGCUGCUGGCAGGC